AUGGAGGGACCCCCCAACCACCAUCGGGACCAGGGAGGCGGCACAGGAGCAGGGCAGCUCGAGAGCUUCACGUCUCUGUUCCUUCCUGCCCGAAGGAGAGGGGAUGGGAGGACAGCCCGAGGAGCCGCAGCAUUUGCUGCAUCAGAUGUCUUGGGGCAUGAGACAAGGCGGAACAAAGCUCUCGGGAGCCAGACAAGUGCAGACCCAGGGCUUGCCGAGGUCUGCGCCGCAGCAUCCCCAGGUUUUGGUCCUGGCCCGGGGAAAGGGAUGCGCAAUGCAAGACCAAAACACAGUGCUGAAGAAAGAAAACAAGACAGUGUGGGAGGAGAGGGCGAGGAUGUGGGGCUAAGAGAAAACGGGGGGGAGGCACUUCAAAGGCAGGCAGGGUCGACCCGCUCCCCCCGCUGCAGUCUCAUGCUCAGCAGGGGAUGGAGGCAAGGCAGCUCCGGCGGGGAGAGUGGCAGAGGGAAGUGCUUUUCUUCUCACUUUGGCGUCAGAGCCUUCCCCUGGAUCGCAGGCGUCCCUUUGAAACCCUGCACCUCACCUCUUCGCACCUGGGUGCGGAGUGAGGGAUCCUGGAGCCCCAUGCUGGCAGCAUUCGGCCAGGCCCUGGGAACCAGCGCUGCCUGGCCCCUGCCCCACACCGAGGGCACGCGAGCAGGAGCAGCUGGGAGGGCAGCGAGGAAACGGGGAGCUCAGCCAGCCCCGUGGGGUGCCAGCAGCGCCCGUACCCCCACACCAAAACCGGGUGCUGUGGCCGGGGACACGUCGUGGGGCAGCGGCACGGGCAGGGCUCCGUGGGAGCUCCCAGUCCCGGAGGAAGCGAGGCUGUGCUUCGAGGCUGGCUCUUUUCCAAAGGAGGGCAGUGCCCGGCUCCACAGAGGGGUUUGCGGGAGAAGGGAUCUGGCCACGGUCUGCGGUGCCCCCUCCAUCACAGCCGGGAGCACAGCCACGUGCAGACAAGUGCGUGGGAGCAGAUGGGAUUUACGUUUGUGGGCGCUGUGA
This 1005-nucleotide long non-coding RNA is filed under the name Anser brachyrhynchus (Pink-footed goose). RNAcentral's name for it is "lncRNA (ENSABRG00000013031.1)". Lineage: Eukaryota; Metazoa; Chordata; Aves; Anseriformes; Anatidae. The record is from RNAcentral.